RNAcentral lists this unclassified non-coding RNA (258 nucleotides) under uncultured Nectriaceae. RNAcentral's name for it is "sequence contains 5.8S rRNA gene". The stretch from base 1 to 53 matches the Rfam family "5.8S ribosomal RNA", at positions 102 to 154 of the family's 154-position model. Lineage: Eukaryota; Fungi; Ascomycota; Sordariomycetes; Hypocreales; Nectriaceae. The record is from RNAcentral.
GAACGCACAUUGCGCCCGCCAGUAUUCUGGCGGGCAUGCCUGUUCGAGCGUCAUUUCAACCCUCAAGCCCCCGGGCUUGGUGUUGGGGAUCGGCGUGCCCUCGCGGCGCGCCGUCCCCGAAAUCUAGUGGCGGUCUCGCUGUAGCUUCCUCUGCGUAGUAGCACACCUCGCACUGGAAAGCAGCGCGGCCACGCCGUUAAACCCCCCACUUCUGAAAGGUUGACCUCGGAUCAGGUAGGAAUACCCGCUGAACUUAAG